GCCAAUGUAGUGUAGUGGUUUAAGUGUUGGACUAUGACUCUGGAGACCAGGGUUUGAAUCCUGGUUUGGCC
This 71-nucleotide transfer RNA is filed under the name Phrynosoma platyrhinos (Desert horned lizard). RNAcentral's name for it is "tRNA-OTHER". The record is from RNAcentral. Lineage: Eukaryota; Metazoa; Chordata; Lepidosauria; Squamata; Phrynosomatidae.